CCUUACACAUGCAAGUCGAACGGCAGCACGGGUGCUUGCACCUGGUGGCGAGUGGCGAACGGGUGAGUAAUAUAUCGGAACGUGCCCUAGAGUGGGGGAUAACGUAGCGAAAGUUACGCUAAUACCGCAUACGAUCUGCGGACGAAAGUGGGGGAUCGCAAGACCUCAUGCUCAUGGAGCGGCCGAUAUCUGAUUAGCUAGUUGGUGGGGUAAAAGCCUACCAAGGCGACGAUCAGUAGCUGGUCUGAGAGGACGACCAGCCACACUGGGACUGAGACACGGCCCAGACUCCUACGGGAGGCAGCAGUGGGGAAUUUUGGACAAUGGGGGCAACCCUGAUCCAGCAAUGCCGCGUGUGUGAAGAAGGCCUUCGGGUUGUAAAGCACUUUUGUCAGGAACGAAACGGUGGGGGCUAAUACCUUCUGCUAAUGACGGUACCUGAAGAAUAAGCACCGGCUAACUACGUGCCAGCAGCCGCGGUAAUACGUAGGGUGCGAGCGUUAAUCGGAAUUACUGGGCGUAAAGCGUGCGCAGGCGGUUGUGCAAGACAGAUGUGAAAUCCCCGGGCUCAACCUGGGAAUUGCAUUUGUGACUGCACGGCUAGAGUGUGUCAGAGGGGGGUAGAAUUCCACGUGUAGCAGUGAAAUGCGUAGAUAUGUGGAGGAAUACCGAUGGCGAAGGCAGCCCCCUGGGAUAACACUGACGCUCAUGCACGAAAGCGUGGGGAGCAAACAGGAUUAGAUACCCUGGUAGUCCACGCCCUAAACGAUGUCUACUAGUUGUCGGGUCUUAAUUGACUUGGUAACGCAGCUAACGCGUGAAGUUGACCGCCUGGGGAGUACGGUCGCAAGAUUAAAACUCAAAGGAAUUGACGGGGACCCGCACAAGCGGUGGAUGAUGUGGAUUAAUUCGAUGCAACGCGAAAAACCUUACCUACCCUUGACAUGUACGGAACCCUGCUGAGAGGUGGGGGUGCUCGA
RNAcentral lists this ribosomal RNA (980 nucleotides) under uncultured bacterium. Its description in RNAcentral is "bacterial SSU rRNA". It matches the Rfam family "Bacterial small subunit ribosomal RNA", at positions 47 to 1021 of the family's 1533-position model. The record is from RNAcentral.